GAUGAACGCUGGCGGCGUGCCUAAUACAUGCAAGUCGAGCGAACGGACGAGAAGCUUGCUUCUCUGAUGUUAGCGGCGGACGGGUGAGUAACACGUGGAUAACCUACUUAUAAGACUGGGAUAACUUCGGGAAACCGGAGCUAAUACCGGAUAAUAUUUUGAACCGCAUGGUUCAAAAGUGAAAGACGGUCUUGCUGUCACUUAUAGAUGGAUCCGCGCUGCAUUAGCUAGUUGGUAAGGUAACGGCUUACCAAGGCAACGAUGCAUAGCCGACCUGAGAGGGUGAUCGGCCACACUGGAACUGAGACACGGUCCAGACUGCUACGGGAGGCAGCAGUAGGGAAUCUGCCGCAAUGGGCGAAAGCCUGACGGAGCAACGCCGCGUGAGUGAUGAAGGUCUUCGGAUCGUAAAACUCUGUUAUUAGGGAAGAACAUAUGUGUAAGUAACUGUGCACAUCUUGACGGUACCUAAUCAGAAAGCCACGGCUAACUACGUG
RNAcentral lists this ribosomal RNA (497 nucleotides) under uncultured bacterium. RNAcentral describes it as "partial 16S ribosomal RNA". It matches the Rfam family "Bacterial small subunit ribosomal RNA", at positions 28 to 507 of the family's 1533-position model. The record is from RNAcentral.